RNAcentral lists this microRNA (22 nucleotides) under Dasypus novemcinctus (nine-banded armadillo). RNAcentral's name for it is "dno-miR-672-3p". Its record names the gene dno-miR-672-3p. The record is from miRBase by way of RNAcentral. Lineage: Eukaryota; Metazoa; Chordata; Mammalia; Cingulata; Dasypodidae.
ACACACAGUAGCUAUCUUCAAA